This 500-nucleotide ribosomal RNA is filed under the name uncultured bacterium. Its description in RNAcentral is "partial 16S ribosomal RNA". It matches the Rfam family "Bacterial small subunit ribosomal RNA", at positions 30 to 523 of the family's 1533-position model. The record is from RNAcentral.
AUUGAACGCUGGCGGCAUGCCUUACACAUGCAAGUCGAACGGCAGCACGGGAGCAAUCCUGGUGGCGAGUGGCGAACGGGUGAGUAAUGUAUCGGAACGUGCCCAGUCGUGGGGGAUAACGUAGCGAAAGCUACGCUAAUACCGCAUACGAUCUGUGGAUGAAAGCGGGGGACCGUAAGGCCUCGCGCGAUUGGAGCGGCCGAUAUCAGAUUAGGUAGUUGGUGGGGUAAAGGCCUACCAAGCCGACGAUCUGUAGCGGGUCUGAGAGGACGACCAUCCACACUGGGAAUGAGACACGGCCCAGACUCCUACGGGAGGCAGCAGUGUGUAAUUUUGGACAAUGGGCGCAAGCCUGAUCCAGCAAUGCCGCGUGCAGGAUGAAGGCCUUCGGGUUGUAAACUGCUUUUGUACGGAGCGAAAAGGCUCUCUCUAAUACAGGGGGCUCAUGACGGUACCGUAAGAAUAAGCACCGGCUAACUACGUGCCAGCAGCCGCCGUAA